UAGAGCUUACGCCCGCGAGGGCGACCCUCUCCACCCUCUGCGUACCCAUACUUUGUUGCCUUAGCGGGCCGCCCUCGGGCCUCGCGCGCCCGCCAAUGACCAAACCCUUUUUUAUUCCUGUUGUCUGAGCACUAUACAAUAGUUA
Molecule: ribosomal RNA, 145 nt
Filed under: Monilinia urnula
Lineage: Eukaryota; Fungi; Ascomycota; Leotiomycetes; Helotiales; Sclerotiniaceae
Source: RNAcentral